AGAGGGCCAUGUAGUGGAAUAGAAGUACCUGGCUUCGGGCGAGACUUGGGUUUCCCAGGUUUUGUGGGUGAAGAUGUCCUCUGACUGAUUCUCUGGCAAUCCUUUGAUGGCUGCUAGCUUAGGCCAACUUCUCUAGAGUGAUGACUAAACUAAAGGUUCACUCCUGGAGAGAAAUUUUACCUCUGGAUGAAUCACAUCUUGAAUCUCAUGCAUUUAGAUAAUAUUUAGGAAGAGUGUCUUAGCCUCUGGACUACUGCCCAAUGAAGACAGCUAUGAAAUGCAUGGAUAACUUGUUAAUCAAUAUUUGUCGUAUGUACUGGCAGCAUCAGCAUCAGCUGGGAGCUUGUGGUGGUCUCCAGGUCAGACCUCAUGAAUCAGGAUAUCAGAGAGUGAGACCCAGGAAAGUGUGCUUUACUAAGUUCUUCAGGUGAUUCUUGAGUACUUUAAAGGUUGAGAAGCACUGUCUUAGGAUGUGGAGGAAUGAAGCUAGAGUGGCUGAGCUCUGUCAUUGACUAACCAUAUAAUCAUCAGAAAGUUACUUACCUUCUCUGGACCUU
This 557-nucleotide long non-coding RNA is filed under the name Pan troglodytes (chimpanzee). RNAcentral describes it as "long non-coding RNA NONPTRT014653". The record is from RNAcentral. Lineage: Eukaryota; Metazoa; Chordata; Mammalia; Primates; Hominidae.